Molecule: long non-coding RNA, 256 nt
Filed under: Capsicum annuum
Lineage: Eukaryota; Viridiplantae; Streptophyta; Magnoliopsida; Solanales; Solanaceae
Description: long non-coding RNA (CANN_LNC001797)
Source: RNAcentral
UGACUCUGACUAUUACAAGACAUAAAGUGGGCAUCCCCACUUGACCAUGCUAGCUAAUAAUACAAACUAUGAGAACUGUAGAUUAUCUUUACGUAUCCAAGUUGUGCAGGGCUAUGGAGUCGAAGCUCAUGCCUGAGUCGUCGUCUUCAUAUGGAUCCUGGGCAUCCUGGAAUUGUGCAAUAUUAUCUUCUUCGUCUGAUCUAGCACAAUUAUUAUCUGUAGUAUUUAUCUCCGGCACAGCGCUGUCUAGAUUAGU